This 650-nucleotide small RNA is filed under the name Caloplaca sp. KWS 15. Its description in RNAcentral is "eukaryotic LSU rRNA". The stretch from base 235 to 389 matches the Rfam family "5.8S ribosomal RNA". The record is from RNAcentral. Lineage: Eukaryota; Fungi; Ascomycota; Lecanoromycetes; Teloschistales; Teloschistaceae.
AGUAAAAGUCGUAACAAGGUUUCCGUAGGUGAACCUGCGGAAGGAUCAUUACCGAGAGGGGCUCGCGCCCCCGGGGGUUUCGCCCCGACUCUCCACCCGAUGCACACCCGACCGUUGUUGCUUUGGCGAGCCUCGGAAGGCUGCCUGCGGGCGCUCUUCGGGGAUCUACUCGCCAGAGGCCGUGGAAAAUCUUACCUGAAUGUGUGGCUGUCAGCGAUCGAUUGGAAUGAUCAAAACUUUCAACAACGGAUCUCUUGGUUCUGGCAUCGAUGAAGAACGCAGCGAAAUGCGAUAAGUAAUGUGAAUUGCAGAAUUCAGUGAAUCAUCGAAUCUUUGAACGCAUAUUGCGCCCUUCGGAAAUUCCUUAGGGCAUGCCUGUUCGAGCGUCAUUUAAUACCCUCAAGUUUGUACUUGGUGUUGGGCUCGUUGCUUCCCCGAAGCAUGCCUGAAACGUAGUGGGAAUCCGGCGCGGACUUCAAGCGUAGUGGUAGCCUAAAUCCGCUUUCGAAGGCUUCGUCCGGGCACCCAGAAGCCCCCAACGUUCUUCGCGAUUGACCUCGGAUCAGGUAGGGACACCCGCUGAACUUAAGCAUAUCAAUAAGCGGAGGAAAAGAAACCAACAGGGAUUGCCUCAGUAACGGCGAGUGAAG